Molecule: ribosomal RNA, 293 nt
Filed under: uncultured bacterium
Lineage: Bacteria
Description: partial 16S ribosomal RNA
Rfam family: Archaeal small subunit ribosomal RNA
Source: RNAcentral
GUGCCAGCAGCCGCGGUAAUACCGGCAGCUCGAGUGAUGUCCCAUAUUAUUGGGCCUAAAGCGUCCGUAGCUGGCCGCACAAGUCCAUCGGAAAAUCCACCCGCCCAACGGGUGGGCGUCCGGUGGAAACUGUGUGGCUUGGGACCGGAAGGCGCGACGGGUACGUCCGGGGUAGGAGUGAAAUCCCGUAAUCCUGGACGGACCGCCGAUGGCGAAAGCACGUCGCGAAGACGGAUCCGACAGUGAGGGACGAAAGCUAGGGUCUCGAACCGGAUUAGAUACCCUUGUAGUCC